ACCAUUUCGACUUUGGACAAACUUACAAACAAGCUCAUUAUUAGAAUAGAUUAUCCAUUGUCUUUGCACAGCUUCUAACGCUGGGGAUGACUACGAUGUCAGUUGUUCACUACCAGUGAACUAAGGUAACACCCCUUAUUUUUCUAGCACCAUCCAGAAUAUUCGAGCGGUUCCAAGCAAUACUGGAGCUCCACACUUAUUGCAUCCCCUAUUGACUUUUGUUUUGUAGUUGUACAAGUUAACUCCAAGUCUCACCCAGAGACCUCAAGAGACAACAAGUUAGAAGUUCAAGAUGGUAUCAUGCCUAGGGUGUCAUAUAUUUGGUUUGCACAUAGUAUUGCUCUAGAGAAUGUUUAAGAAAACAUAAGAAAAUUAUAAGUUCGUUUUAAAAUUUGAGAUUACAUAGACAGUAUAUUUUACCUCGGAUAUGGGCAGUUCCCAUGAGCACUAUCUUUUGAAUUUCUGCCAUUUUGGGGUUUCCUGGUAUCUGAGCAAACUUCAGUUGAAAAAUCCUGCAAAUCCGAUUGCUGAAUAUUUAUCUAAAUUACCGACAAAAAACGUAACCUAAUGGAUAUAGAAGUGUACGUAUUGCAGCGACUGGAAUGAACCGAAUGUCGAUUUGUAGACGAGUUCACAUCCACGAUCAGAAGCAUCGUGAAAAAUACUUCUGCAUCCUCAUGGUAAUCAGUUGUGGUGAAUCAUUCGAGGAGCAAAUGUUUGGAAAAAUAUAGAAGAUGCUAAUUCCUCUAUUCACGGAUAACUGGAUGCAACGGUAUAGAUUAACUAAAUUAAUUGCGUAACGUAUCUGCCGAUAAGAUUAAGGGUUAUACGUAUGUUUGUUAAACGUGUUAAUGUAAUAAAUCUAAUUACAAUUUCAUCCACAAA
Molecule: long non-coding RNA, 885 nt
Organism: Octopus bimaculoides (California two-spot octopus)
Lineage: Eukaryota; Metazoa; Mollusca; Cephalopoda; Octopoda; Octopodidae
Source: RefSeq, a predicted model, not a curated record